This 497-nucleotide ribosomal RNA is filed under the name uncultured bacterium. RNAcentral describes it as "partial 16S ribosomal RNA". It matches the Rfam family "Bacterial small subunit ribosomal RNA", at positions 28 to 507 of the family's 1533-position model. The record is from RNAcentral.
GAUGAACGCUGGCGGCGUGCCUAAUACAUGCAAGUCGAGCGAACGGACGAGAAGCUUGCUUCUCUGAUGUUAGCGGCGGACGGGUGAGUAGCACGUGGAUAACCUACCUAUAAGACUGGGAUAACUUCGGGAAACCGUAGCUAAUACCGGAUAAUAUUUUGAACCGCAUGGUUCAAAAGUGAAAGACGGUCUUGCUGUCACUUAUAGAUGGAUCCGCGCUGCAUUAGCUAGUUGGUAAGGUAACGGCUUACCAAGGCAACGAUGCAUAGCCGACCUGAGAGGGUGAUCGGCCACACUGGAACUGAGACACGGUCCAGGCUCCUACGGGAGGCAGCAGUAGGGAAUCUUCCGCAAUGGGCGAAAGCCUGACGGAGCAACGCCGCGUGAGUGAUGAAGGUCUUCGGAUCGUAAAACUCUGUUAUUAGGGAAGAACAUAUGUGUAAGUAACUGUGCACAUCUUGACGGUACCUAAUCAGAAAGCCACGGCUAACUACGUG